Molecule: ribosomal RNA, 469 nt
Filed under: uncultured bacterium
Lineage: Bacteria
Description: partial 16S ribosomal RNA
Rfam family: Bacterial small subunit ribosomal RNA
Source: RNAcentral
GACGAACGCUGGCGGCGUGCUUAACACAUGCAAGUCGAACGGAAAGGCCCUGCUUUUGUGGGGUGCUCGAGUGGCGAACGGGUGAGUAACACGUGAGUAACCUGCCCUUGACUUUGGGAUAACUUCAGGAAACUGGGGCUAAUACCGGAUAGGAGCUCCUGCUGCAAGGUGGGGGUUGGAAAGUUUCGGCGGUUGGGGAUGGACUCGCGGCUUAUCAACUUGUUGGUGGGGUAGUGGCUUACCAAGGCUUUGACGGGUAGCCGGCCUGAGAGGGUGACCGGCCACAUUGGGACUGAGAUACGGCCCAGGCUCCUACGGGAGGCAGCAGUGGGGAAGAUUGAACAAUGGGCGGCAGCCUGAUGCAGAAAGGCCGCGUGCGGGAUGACGGCCUUCGGGUUGUAAACCGCUUUCGCCUGUGACGAAGCGUGAGUGACGGUAAUGGGUAAAGAAGCACCGGCUAACUACGUGC